GCGUGUGUGAUGAAGGCCCUAGGGUUGUAAAGCACUUUCAACGGUGAAGAUGAUGACGGUAGCCGUAGAAGAAGCCCCGGCUAACUUCGUGCCAGCAGCCGCGGUAAUACGAAGGGGGCGAGCGUUAUUCGGAAUUAUUGGGCGUAAAGGGCUCGCAGGCUGCUUGAACAGUUAGACGUGAAAUCCCCGGGCUUAACCUGGGAACUGCGUUUAAUACUAGCAAGCUAGAGAAAUAGAGAGGAAAGUGGAACUCCCAGUGUAGAGGUGAAAUUCGU
Molecule: ribosomal RNA, 275 nt
Filed under: uncultured bacterium
Lineage: Bacteria
Description: partial 16S ribosomal RNA
Rfam family: Bacterial small subunit ribosomal RNA
Source: RNAcentral